Molecule: long non-coding RNA, 621 nt
Organism: Drosophila nasuta
Lineage: Eukaryota; Metazoa; Arthropoda; Insecta; Diptera; Drosophilidae
Exons: 3
Source: RefSeq, a predicted model, not a curated record
AAAAAUCGCAGCUGGCAUAUGUCAGAAUUGUGUGGCAAGUACUCAAGCUUGAGCUCAAGUAUUUGUCGGUUUAUCACUCUGUCUGUCUGUCUCAGUCACCUGUCCAUGACUAUGGCUAACUAUUCAAUUAUGAGCAACAACAGCUUUGCAAGACGAUCUUUUAGACGCACGUGUCUCCACUCGAAGACUUCUUCUCGUCUUCUCGAGUCGUCGUGGGUGGACACAAGAUACCUUGCCACUUAAUACGAUUUCAGCAGAUAAGACAUUGGCGACUUGCAAGUCAUUUUGUUGUGCAAAAUAUCCACAACACACACACACAAAAAUUAAAGUGCACAAUUGAAUUACAUUUAGUUGCGCAGGUAUUCAAACUAUUUAUAACAAAUUCAAUUCAAUUUGCAGUUAUAUUUAUUUCUAUUGAAAUUCGCUGGCGAAUCACGAAUCAAUUCGAAUUGAAUAAUAAAUUCAUAUGCAUGACAUUUAACAGAAAUUCAACACUCACUUCACACACACACACACACAAAAACAAAUUUAAACACAAAGCUGACCUUGAGGUCCAGAGCAUUUACAUUUAGAUGCGAUUACAGAUUCGCUUGCUGCACAAGUGGAGCAACAAAAAAAAAA